Molecule: ribosomal RNA, 441 nt
Filed under: uncultured bacterium
Lineage: Bacteria
Description: bacterial SSU rRNA
Rfam family: Bacterial small subunit ribosomal RNA
Source: RNAcentral
CCUACGGGGGGCUGCAGUGGGGAAUAUUGCACAAUAGGGGAAACCCUGAUGCAGCAACGCCGCGUGAGCGAUGAAGGCCUUCGGGUCGUAAAGCUCUGUCCUAAGGGAAGAAUACUGACGGUACCUUAGGAGGAAGCCCCGGCUAACUACGUGCCAGCAGCCGCGGUAAUACGUAGGGGGCAAGCGUUAUCCGGAAUCACUGGGUGUAAAGGGUGCGUAGGCGGUAGGGCAAGUCAGAUGUGAAAGCCCGGGGCUCAACCCCGGGAUUGCAUUUGAAACUGUCUUACUAGAGUGCAGGAGAGGAGAGUGGAAUUCCUAGUGUAGCGGUGAAAUGCGUAGAUAUUAGGAGGAACACCAGUGGCGAAGGCGACUCUCUGGACUGUAACUGACGCUGAGGCACGAAAGCGUGGGGAGCAAACAGGAUUAGAUACCCUGGUAGUC